RNAcentral lists this long non-coding RNA (3454 nucleotides) under Chinchilla lanigera (long-tailed chinchilla). Its description in RNAcentral is "lncRNA (ENSCLAG00000027394.1)". The record is from RNAcentral. Lineage: Eukaryota; Metazoa; Chordata; Mammalia; Rodentia; Chinchillidae.
GUUUGACUGGGAGAUCUUCAUCCAGUAACCACUUGAGCACUUUUAUUCUCCCCCUGCCUUAUAGUCCAGCAGUCCACUUAGUCAGUCAUUUGAUUUCCCAGCUGCAUUACUAAAAAUAAAUGGAUGAAAAGAAAACUUUUCUUGGCAGGAUGCUUGACAUUUUGUCUUCUCGAAGGCUUUCUGAUGUGCUUACUGAGAAAUGGCGUCGGCAGGGUGGACCUCCGGAAAGCCUCUCUCCUUGGGGCCACCCCUUUCCGCAGUGCCAGUCUCAAGGAAACAUUUCUGAGUGACUCACAUGUGACUUCUGGUUUUCAUCCAUGGUUGAACAUGAGCUUCUCUUACUUCUUGUUGGAUAUAAGCUGAUUGAUUUCACCUGUGAAGUCAUAACUAAAUAUCCCUUGUUGGAUUCCGUGUAAGCAAGCUUUAACUCUCCUAUCCAGUAGCGUCAGUGUGUCUUGGGGCUAAACAGCUGAGCCCUUGACACUUUAUGUCCCUGACCAUGCCCCUUAUUUUCUAUUCCAGGUUCUUGCCUAAAAAAUAAAAAAAAUACUUCUUCAUAUAGCAGUGUAUUACUGAUCAACCCAUCCAAUGGAUCAACUGCAAGGAGCUACAAAAAAAUGUGUUUCAAAGGGUUUAUUUUUAUUUUUUAUUUUUUAUUUUUUUUGGUUUUUCUCCGGUACCGGGAACCGAACUCAUGACCUUGCGCUUGCCAGGCAGGCGCUUUGCCGCUGAGCUAAAUCCCCAGCCCCUCAAAGGGUUUAUUAAUAAGAGACUAAGGGAUAAAGAAGUUCACUCCAGGGCUCUUAAUCCAGCACCUUUCAUAAGCACUAAGUUUAUUGAAGCUAAAUAACAAUAGCAUGUGACAGAUUAUAUUUGUAUGGGAAAUCACAGAGAAAACAGCAAAGACACUGUAAAUUGAAUUUUUUUUCAGAUAAUGAAAGGUUCUACUGUAUAGCCAAGCUACAGUCUAUUACAACAAGUCAUUGAUUACUGCUCCAGCCACCCUCAUUUCUAAUUCCAUUGGUGAAAUAAAUGACAGCCUUUGAGUUUGUCACUUUCUUGAUAUGCAGCAAUAAGAAUGGUGAAUUACUCUAGCAUUUAGAAUAGCCAAGCUGAUAAGUGUCCUUCCUCUUUGGCAUCGCAUGCUGCAAAGCUUUAAGUAGCAAUAAGUGUAAUAGCCAUCUUCUCCAACAUGUGCUACCAGCAGUUCUUGGGAAGGCUGAAGAUGCUCAAAUUCAAGCUGUUCUCGCCAUUCACCCUGUGGUGAGCUGCAGCCGUGGGCCACCCCACACGGUUACUGUCCCCACUCAGCUUGGGCAGAAGUUGGUUUCCUCCAGGACUCCGCUGAAGCCAACGGUUGUAAUUCAAAUGACAGCAUCGCAAGUGUCCUGAAAACCAACUGCCUUGUAUUUCUAGGUGCAUGUGUUGUAAUGGCUGUCAAAGAGAAACAACCCGGCAGGUUAUCUGGCUUCCCCAUCUUCUCCAGGUGUAAUGCAGUCAUUCAUUUUGCUCACUCUCUCUCUGUGCUUCAACCCGGGGGAGACCACAAACUGAAAAGUACACACUAAUCUAUUUUUGCUUUCUGUUGGUCUGUUUGUGGGAGUAAUUGUUUCACACUCAGUGAACCACAAAUGAGUGUCUGUGUGUAUAAGAACUUUUUAAGAGAGUAGAGGGGCUAUAUUCUUUAUGUGUUAGGGUAUGAGCACUCUAUAUGUGUAGGAAGAUGUAUGUAUGAGUGUAUUUGCCACAUUAUUCACAAAUAGUUUCAUUCUUAAUUCUGGGGGGGUGUAGUUCAUAUUGAAUUUGUUUUAAUUGAAGCCCAUUACUAGUAGAACUACUCUGAGGUUGACCUAAAUCUUUUCUCCAGGUGUUCACAGUACUGAUUUGCAUAACUAAUCCCCUCUUCCCUGCUCCCCAAAGAGUGCACAGGGCAUUGUCAGAGAGACUACUUUCUAAAAUUUCUCAAGGAUGGUAUAUAACUAAGACAUUUCCAGAUAUAUGGGAAAGAAGUUAAUUCAUUACAUACAAGCAUGCCCCGUGGGAAACUGCAAGACCAUAGGUGCAAGUGUACACACAUACACACACACAUACACACACACACUACACACGGUGUACUAAAAUAUGGUACCCAGUGCAUGAACAUGCGAACUUUCUGGGGCAGGCCAAUUUUCAAGCAUUACUAUGAUUGCAGUUUUUUUGUUUGAGAAGCCCUCUGUGAAGCUCAGGUUACAACUUCUAUGUGUCUCCAAUUAUUGAUAUUUUCUUUUCCAACCUUUCUCUUAUAGCAGGAAAAUAGGUUUUCUAUGAGGCAGCCCAUGAGUCUGCCCUGCCAUAGAGUAUGGAGUCCCUGACUGUAACCAAGGUCUCAAGAGAAAUAUUCUGUAACUGGAUUAAACUUAAACUAUUGGCAUGCGGUUUUUCUAUGUGGUUUACCAGGACAUGCAAUAUUUUGAGAGCAUAAAAAAAUUGCUGACCAGUCACUGAUAACAAGUGUAACUCGGUAAAAUGAAAUAAUAUAAGGGGCAAUCACAUAUGAUCUUGGUACAGCAGAUCACUGGCCAGAGGCAGACAGGAAUCGCUUCCUCGAGCAGAAUGAUGUUAUGCAAGAACCAGAAUUUGUGGAGGAGCCUGGAAGUCCCUAAGUUCUUGCCCAGAGCAGGAGGUCUUGCAUAGGACAGUCAGGUAGAGUUGGAGGAGGCUCUGCCUUUGGUACUUUCUGAGCACGCAGGCAGAUUUAUAUCUGACCCUCUGUGCUGGGGAGGACUGUGUUGUUAUUUCUCUGACUUGCCCCCUUGUUGGUCUUACUCAAAAGUUGGUGACAGUGGUGAUGAAAUGCACUGUACCCCUCAGACUCAUACUCUUUUGCCUUUGACCCUGAUGUUUGGUUAUAUGAGAUAUUAUUUUCUGAACAAAAUCAGACACUAUAUAAUAUUUUGCAUUUUUCUCAGACAGAAAAAUAGAACAGAUACUGUGAUACCCUAGCUGCUGUUUUUUUGUUUUUUUUUUUUUGUUUGUUUUUCUCCGGUACCGGGAACCGAACUCACGACCUUGCGCUUGCCAGGCAGGUGCUUUUGCUGCUGAGCUAAAUCCCCAGCCCCCUAGCUGCUGUUAUUCUGAAAUAUAUGGAAUAGUUCUGUAGAUUUACUUCUUUACCUUAACUCUGUCUACCUUAAACCAGUCUUUCUCAGCCUGGAUUCCUCAAAUGAUGACAAAACCGCGUUGUUCGUGUGAAGACUUUCUAAAUUUUUCUAUAGAUGGUAAGUAAUUAAGAUGCUUCUAAAUGUCUUGGAAUGAAGUUAAUUCACUGCAUAAAAGGAUGUCCUAUGGAAAACUGUAAGCCCACGGGCUGAUACAGAGUUAUCCAAUGCACAUUUUAACUUUCUGUGUCCUAUAGCCUAUGUUACCAUCACCUAUUGAAGCGUGAAAGCAUUUAGUACACAGACCCCCAUUUGUC